GGCGGAGCCAAAUGGCAAGCUGGACUGCACCAUGGAGGCGGCAGGGCACACACAAAAUGACACUCCACAUGCAGCGGAGAGAAAAGGAGGCACUGCGAGGGAACCACACGAUGAUGAUGCUAUAGCAACCAUGCCGGGGCCUAGUGAGGGUGUUGCUGAGCGACAUGGGACAAGGCGUAGCGAGCAUGACAGCAGUUUAGCCUGACAUCAAGCAUUGAGACUGCUGGGGCUGAAUGAACGGCCUCAGUGUCAGUGUUCACAUGAGCCUGGCUGCGGAGGGACCGGUACGUCUGCAGACGCUGUCCAUGCAGCAGGAGGACACCAGGACUCUGUGCACGAGUGUGAGCCAGUGAGGACAAUCAAGAUGGAUGCAUGCAAAUAUUGUUUUUAGGGGUGAAAUUAGCACAACCGCAUUUCUGGCGCAGGGGAAGCCAUGGGAACCCCCCCCCCCAUGAAGGAACCAGCCCAGGCCAAGCACCAGGAGUGACUUUGAAUUCUCUGGCUACAACAGAACCAACAGACAAGGACACAUGAAGGAGGACAGGGGGGGGGGUAUGCGGGGGCUUCACAGCAUGAUCUGAUUAAAAUACCUAAGAAACGG
Long non-coding RNA from Paramormyrops kingsleyae, 601 nucleotides. RefSeq lists it as uncharacterized. NCBI's taxonomy places the organism in Eukaryota, Metazoa, Chordata, Actinopteri, Osteoglossiformes, Mormyridae. The record is from RefSeq and is a predicted model, not a curated record.